CCUACGGGGUGCAGCAGUAGGGAAUAUUGCUCAAUGGAGGAAACUCUGAAGCAGCAACGCAGCGUGGAGGAUGAAGGUUUUAGGGUUGUAAACUCCUUUUGUUAAAGAAGAUUAUGACGGUAUCUAACGAAUAAGCACCGGCUAACUCCGUGCAAGCAGCCGCGGUAAUACGGAGGGUGCAAGCGUUACACGGAUUCACUGGGCGUAAAGCGGGCGUAGGCGGGGUAAUAAGUCAGAUGUGAAAUCCUGUAGCUUAACUAUAGAAUUGCAUUUGAAACUGUUAAUCUGGAGUGUGGGAGAGGUAGGUGGAAUUCGUGGUGUAGCGGUAAAAUCCGUAGAGAUCAAGAGGAAUACUCAUUGCGAAGGCGACCUGCUAGAACAUUACUGACGCUGAUGCACGAAAGCGUGGGGAGCAAACAGGAUUAGAUACCCCUGUAGUC
Molecule: ribosomal RNA, 440 nt
Filed under: uncultured bacterium
Lineage: Bacteria
Description: partial 16S ribosomal RNA
Rfam family: Bacterial small subunit ribosomal RNA
Source: RNAcentral